GAACCCAUUGGUUUCUGUAUGAUCACCGAAGUUAAGCAAUGUUGAGCAUCGUCAGUAAUUGGAUGGGUGACUGCUUGGGAAUAUUAGGUGCUGUAAG
Molecule: non-coding RNA, 97 nt
Organism: Acanthosepion pharaonis
Lineage: Eukaryota; Metazoa; Mollusca; Cephalopoda; Sepiida; Sepiidae
Source: the annotation of a GenBank genome assembly